AAUCUGUGGUGUGGGCACUUCUGAAUAAGCGUCCUAAAACACUCCCAUGCUUCAUGAAAACUUUCCCCUUCUAACUGUUUGAACAUUGAAAUUUCCCUUCUUAGCU
This is a small nucleolar RNA of Gossypium raimondii (Peruvian cotton), 106 nucleotides long. It matches the Rfam family "Plant small nucleolar RNA R71". From Rfam's summary of the family: R71 is a member of the C/D box family of snoRNAs containing the C (UGAUGA) and D (CUGA) box motifs. Multiple nearly identical copies of this snoRNA have been identified in Arabidopsis, and it is thought to function as a 2'-O-ribose methylation guide for 18S ribosomal RNA. NCBI's taxonomy places the organism in Eukaryota, Viridiplantae, Streptophyta, Magnoliopsida, Malvales, Malvaceae. The record is from Rfam.